GGUUACUGCGCUUUUAAAAACAAGAAGGAAAUAAAGUGCACAUGCUGGAGGUGUGGUUUGUGCUCUCGCAUUCGUGCUGCUGGUGUUUCCACGACUGCAUGCUCCGAUUCUGCAAAGAGGCUCAAAGGCUGAUCGUGCUGAGAGCCCCUGAGAGACCCAACUCUAUGGGAACUGAGACCACUUGACUGYGUUCAGCACCCUUCAGGAUCUGGUCCUAGGAAAUGUUCAAAGGCGCCAAGGGAAAAUCGCCUGAGAUUUGAAGCGAAGACA
RNAcentral lists this long non-coding RNA (270 nucleotides) under Dromaius novaehollandiae (emu). Its description in RNAcentral is "lncRNA (ENSDNVG00000005003.1)". Lineage: Eukaryota; Metazoa; Chordata; Aves; Casuariiformes; Dromaiidae. The record is from RNAcentral.